Molecule: ribosomal RNA, 1481 nt
Filed under: metagenome
Description: bacterial SSU rRNA
Rfam family: Bacterial small subunit ribosomal RNA
Source: RNAcentral
AUCCUGGCUCAGGAUGAACGCUAGCGGCAGGCCUAACACAUGCAAGUCGAGGGGUAGAUGUCUUCGGAUAUCGAGACCGGCGCACGGGUGCGUAACGCGUAUGCAACCUGCCUUCCACAAAGGGAUAGCCCAGAGAAAUUUGGAUUAAUACCUUAUAGCAUUGCGGAAUGGCAUCAUUUCGUAAUUAAAGAUUUAUCGGUGGAAGAUGGGCAUGCGUCCCAUUAGCUUGUUGGUAAGGUAACGGCUUACCAAGGCAAUGAUGGGUAGGGGUCCUGAGAGGGAGAUCCCCCACACUGGUACUGAGACACGGACCAGACUCCUACGGGAGGCAGCAGUGAGGAAUAUUGGACAAUGGGCGCAAGCCUGAUCCAGCCAUGCCGCGUGCAGGAUGAAGCAUCUAUGGUGUGUAAACUGCUUUUAUACGGGAAGAAACCCCGCCUCGUGAGGCGGACUGACGGAACCGUAAGAAUAAGGACCGGCUAACUCCGUGCCAGCAGCCGCGGUAAUACGGAGGGUCCAAGCGUUAUCCGGAAUCAUUGGGUUUAAAGGGUCCGUAGGCGGCCUUGUAAGUCAGUGGUGAAAUCUCCCGGCUCAACCGGGAAAUGGCCAUUGAUACUGCAGGGCUUGAAUUAUUGGGAAGUAACUAGAAUAUGUAGUGUAGCGGUGAAAUGCUUAGAUAUUACAUGGAAUACCGAUUGCGAAGGCAGGUUACUAUCAAUAUAUUGACGCUGAUGGACGAAAGCGUGGGUAGCGAACAGGAUUAGAUACCCUGGUAGUCCACGCCGUAAACGAUGGAUGCUAGCCGUUGGCGAGCUUGCUCGUCAGUGGCGCAGCUAACGCAUUAAGCAUCCCGCCUGGGGAGUACGGUCGCAAGAUUAAAACUCAAAGGAAUUGACGGGGGCCCGCACAAGCGGUGGAGCAUGUGGUUCAAUUCGAAGCAACGCGCAGAACCUUACCAACCUUUGACAUCCCGAUCGCGGACACCAGAGAUGGAGUCCUUCAGUUCGGCUGGAUCGGAGACAGGUGCUGCAUGGCUGUCGUCAGCUCGUGUCGUGAGAUGUUGGGUUAAGUCCCGCAACGAGCGCAACCCUCGCCCUUAGUUGCCACCAUUCAGUUGGGCACUCUAAGGGGACUGCCGGUGAUAAGCCGGAGGAAGGUGGGGAUGACGUCAAGUCCUCAUGGCCCUUACAGGUUGGGCUACACACGUGCUACAAUGGCGGUGACAGAGGGACGCAAUGGAGCAAUCCUGCGCAAAUCUCGAAAAACCGUCUCAGUUCGGAUUGGGGUCUGCAACUCGACCCCAUGAAGUUGGAAUCGCUAGUAAUCGCAGAUCAGCACGCUGCGGUGAAUACGUUCCCGGGCCUUGUACACACCGCCCGUCACACCAUGGGAGUUGGUUUUACCUGAAGACGGUGCGCUAACCGCAAGGGGGCAGCCGGCCACGGUAGGGUCAGCGACUGGGGUGAAGUCGUAACAAGGUA